GAUGAAGAACGUAGCGAAAUGCGAUAAGUAAUGUGAAUUGCAGAGUUCAGUGAAUCAUCGAAUCUUUGAACGCACAUUGCGCCCGUCAGUAUUCUGACGGGCAUGCCUGUCCGAGCGUCAUUUCAACCCUCAAGCACUGCUUGGCGUUUGCGGAUUGCGUGCCCUCGCGGCGCUGCAACCGCCCAAAUACAGUGGCGGUCCCGCUGCGGCUCCCUUUGCGUAGUAACUCACCUCGCACUGGACCGGGCGGCGGCCUGCCGUAAAACCCCAACUCACGAAAUGUUGACCUCGGAUCAGGUAGGAAUACCCGCUGAACUUAAGCAUAUCAAUAAGCGGAGGA
This 340-nucleotide unclassified non-coding RNA is filed under the name soil metagenome. RNAcentral describes it as "partial contains 5.8S ribosomal RNA, internal transcribed spacer 2, and large subunit ribosomal RNA". The stretch from base 1 to 120 matches the Rfam family "5.8S ribosomal RNA", at positions 35 to 154 of the family's 154-position model. The record is from RNAcentral.